Molecule: ribosomal RNA, 1473 nt
Filed under: Methanobacteriota archaeon
Lineage: Archaea; Methanobacteriati; Methanobacteriota
Description: bacterial SSU rRNA
Rfam family: Archaeal small subunit ribosomal RNA
Source: RNAcentral
AUCAAUUCCGGUUGAUCCUGCCGUCGGUUACCGCUAUUGGAAUCCGCUUAAGACAUGCGAGUCGAGAGGGUUUAGACCCUCGGCAUACUGCUCAGUAACACACGGAUAAUCUACCCUAAGGUGGGGCAUAAUCUCGGGAAACUGAGAACAAUUCCCCAUAGGCCAUGGAUGCUGGAAUGCUUCAUGGUCCAAAGCUCCGGCGCCUUAGGAUGAGUCUGCGGCCUAUCAGGUUGUAGUGGGUGUAACGGACCCACUAGCCAGUGACGGGUACGGGCGUUGGGAGACGUCGCCCGGAGUUGGAUUCUGAGACACGAAUCCAGGCCCUACGGGGCGCAGCAGUCGCGAAAACUUGUCAAUGAGGGAAACCUCGAACAGGGGACUCCAAGUGCAUGCGUUUUACGUAUGCUUUUUGGCUGCCUAAAAAGCAGUCAGAAUAAGGGCUGGGUAAGACAGGUGCCAGCCGCCGCGGUAAUACCUGCAGCCCAAGUGGUAAUCGUUAUUAUUGAGCCUAAAGCGUCCGUAGCCGGUCCGGUAAACCCUCGGGUAAAUCGAGCAGCUCAACUGUUCGAAUUCCGGGGGGACUGCCAGACUUGGAACCGGGAGAGGUCAGAGGUACUCCAGGGGUAGGGGCUAAAUCCUGUAAUCCUUGGAGGACCACCAGUGGCGAAGGCGUCUGACUAGAACGGAUUCGACGGUAAGGGACGAAACCCUGGGGCGCAAACCGGAUUAGAUACCCGGGUAGUCCAGGGCGUAAACGCUGCAGGCUUGGUGUUGGGGACCCUACGAGGGUGCUCAGUGCCGGAGUGAAGAUGUUAAGCCUGCCGCUUGGGGAGUACGUCCGCAAGGAUGAAACUUAAAGGAAUUGGCGGGAGAGCACAGCAACGGGAGGAGCGUGCGGUUCAAUUGGAUUCAACGCCGGAAAACUCACCGGGAGCGACGAUUACAUGAAGGUCAAGCCGAUGACUUUACCUGAUUUUUCGAGAGGUGGUGCAUGGCCGUCGUCAGUUCGUACCGUAAGGCGUUCUGUUAAGUCAGAUAACGAACGAGACCCUCACCCUUAAUUGCCAACCCAUUCUCCGGAGUGGGCGCACAUUAAGGGGACCGCUGGCGCUAAGUCAGAGGAAGGAGAGGUCAACGGUAGGUCAGUAUGCCCCGAAUCUCCCGGGCUACACGCGCGCUACAAAGGAUAGGACAAUGGGAUGCGAUACCGAAAGGUAAAGCGAACCCCGAAACCUAUUCGUAGUUCGAAUUGAGGGCUGUAACUCGCCCUCAUGAAGCUGGAUUCCGUAGUAAUCGCGGGUCAACAUCCCGCGGUGAAUAUGCCCCUGCUCUUUGCACACACCGCCCGUCAAACCACCCGAGUUGGGUCUGAGUGAAGGUGCUCUUUUUGGAGCGCUUGAACUUGGGUUCAGCAAGGAGGGUUAAGUCGUAACAAGGUAUCUGUAGGGGAACCUGCAGAUGGAUCACCUCCUA